This 679-nucleotide long non-coding RNA is filed under the name Salmo salar (Atlantic salmon). Its description in RNAcentral is "lncRNA (ENSSSAG00000090493.1)". Lineage: Eukaryota; Metazoa; Chordata; Actinopteri; Salmoniformes; Salmonidae. The record is from RNAcentral.
CGCAAGCGACGUGUGUGUCGUCAGCGCUCCUGUCUGCCAGCCGAGCCGUAGAACAAGAUGGCGGACUCCUUAGCAACGGCUCAGGGAGAGGAGAUCGAACCGGAGAAAGAAGGCAAGGAGAGACGGAUGGAGGGAGAUAGUGAGAACCGGGGAUCGAAGGAGACCUCCGAGGUGACGGAAACGCUGGGGUUUUACGACAAGAAGAAAGUCCAAAAGGACAAGAAACGGAGUUUGUCUGGUGAGUACUGAACCAGAACCUCAGCUUGAGGAGAGGAGAGCCCAGGUACUGGUCCAGGUGAGUACUGAACCAGAACCUCAGCUUGAGGAGAGGAGAGCCCAGGUACUGGUCCAGGUGAGUACUGAACCAGAACCUCAGCUUGAGGAGAGGUAGUAGUAGUAGCAGCUAGCUAACAGUAGUAGUAGUAGUAGUAGUAGUAGUAGUAGUAUAGUAGUAGUAGUAGUAGUAGUAGUAGUAGUAGCAGCUAGCUAACAGUAGUAGUAGUAGCAGCUAGCUAACAGUAGUAGUAGUAGCAGCUAGCUAACAGUAGUAGUAGUAGCAGCUAGCUAACAGUAGUAGUAGUAGCAGCUAGCUAACAGUAGUAGUAGUAGUAAUAGCAGCUAGCUAACAGUAGUAGUAGUAGUAAUAGCAGCUAGCUAACAGUUGUAGUAGUAGUAGUAG